This 1603-nucleotide long non-coding RNA is filed under the name Callithrix jacchus (white-tufted-ear marmoset). RNAcentral's name for it is "lncRNA (ENSCJAG00000052168.2)". Lineage: Eukaryota; Metazoa; Chordata; Mammalia; Primates; Cebidae. The record is from RNAcentral.
AUGCAUUCCCUUCCUUUUCUUCUUUAUUCCCUGUACACUCUGCCCUUUCUUCCAACUUUGCUUUCUUUUUCGCUGCCUCUUUUUUUUCUUUCUUUCUUAAUCCUGUCCUUCCCCUUGUUUCUCUUUCCUCUCAGGACUGGAAAGAGCAUUGAAUUAGGAGCCAUAAGACCUGGUUUGCUACUCCAGCUCUGUCCUCACAACAGUGAAAUCUACAUUCUUUCUUGGCUUCGAAUUCCUUGUGAGUUUUCACUUUGCCCACAAGUUACAAAACAACAUGAAACAAAUGAUGGUCGGUUCGAGGAGUGAACAAGAAGAAAGAGAAUAUCAGAAUGGAGGAGAGAAAGAAGGGGAAAAAAAUAGAGAAUUGCUGGGAUAGCAUAGAGAAUCAAGCUGCAUUUGAGAAAGCUUCCUAAAGGCACUCAAAAUUCAUACACACGUUUUCUAUAUCAAGUCUGAAUUUGGGUUUUAAGGAAGUUGGAAGUCAUGGCCUUUAAAAAGGAGCGAGAACCCCCCUUCUGGUCGCCAGUUUUGAAGCUUGAGGUAGAGGAAAGAGGCAGAAGUGAAUUAGCAGUGUUCCUCAACACACACCAACAUAAUUAUUGCAGUCAUUAUACCUUGAGGAGCAGUGUGUCAAAACAACUUUCUUGAGGUCACAGAAAUUAUCUGUGGAACCAGGAGUCAAGCCCCAGUGUGGCAUUUUAUCCUGAAUAUGAGGUGAUCAGCAGAAUGUGCCAGUGAUUUUCAUGAUCGAGCAUAGAUUUUUUCAUGCUCAACGCUUCUUUGUUCUAACAUACAAAGUAGUUUGUUUUCUGCCUACCCAAAACAUUGUAAAAAAUUCUUAUCAAUUGUGAAACAUUUGACAUCAUAUUAGUCCAAAUAAAAGGGUGACUGGUCUAGGAAGAAAAGAAAUUAUGAUAUUUUAGCUCCUGGGGUGGCUGCAAAAGAGGGAAAGGUAAUUAAUUCAACAAAGUCACUCAGUCUUCUAGGUAGAGGCAAUAGCUGUCUACCCAACACAUAGCUGACAGCUUCCUGGGGCCAUUUCAGGGAGAGCUCAAGUGCUUACAGUCAAUGAGGCAGAUCCCACUCUGUGUGGAGGGAAACUUCCAGGGCAAAGACUUGGACUUUCUCAGAUUUGUUUUUUGAAGGAAGGUAGCAUGUAUGACACUGAUGACACCACAAACACUUGUUGAACAGACAUGAAUGUUAAUGUUAGUCAAACAGUAAAGUCCCCACUCAGAUUGCUCAAGCCCUCUGUGCCAUGUGAAUACACAGGGAAGACACAUUGAUUUUCCCUUUGUUGCUCAAAACAUUUAGUGACUCUCCUGACUUGGAACCAUUUAGGUGGAACCUUACUAGCAAGACUCUCUCCUCCUGGCAGUAUUUGGAUUUUAAUGUUUUGCUAGCAAAACGGAGCUUCUUGUUCUGACACCCCGUAUAGGAUGUUGUCAGCAAGCUGUCACAGCAACCUAAAAUAUUUGGCUGGGAUGGGAGAAAAGCAAAAGGAGCUGUGUUAAUCAGGGUAUGCAAACUGAUGUAACAUACAACCUUCAAGCCUCAGUGGAUUAGUACAAUAAAGAUUUGUUUCUUGUUCAUGUCACCAUUC